This is a long non-coding RNA of Lacerta agilis (Sand lizard), 317 nucleotides long. RefSeq lists it as uncharacterized. The transcript has 2 exons. The record is from RefSeq and is a predicted model, not a curated record. Lineage: Eukaryota; Metazoa; Chordata; Lepidosauria; Squamata; Lacertidae.
GCUAAAUAUUUACACGGAGCAAAAAACAAAGAAAUUUAGCAGCCCUCAUCCUGAUUUCAUGUGGGUGAGGGAAGCCUGGAGGGAGAGAGGAAUGGUGGUUUGGAGGGAAAUGGAGUUUAAAACAAGACAAAACUGCAAUGGAGAGGAGAGUUGUGGGAAGGGAAUCCUCUUCGAGCAAUCAGUUCCGACCUCUGGAAACAAUAACCAGUCUCUCUACCAGCCGACUGCUAGUUAGCUCUACAGUGCAUUCCGUGAACCUAAGAAGUUGAGAGGAAGAUUACUUAUUUGCUUUGUGCAUUCCAUGUUUCUCCUUAGGG